This 357-nucleotide ribosomal RNA is filed under the name uncultured bacterium. RNAcentral describes it as "bacterial SSU rRNA". It matches the Rfam family "Bacterial small subunit ribosomal RNA", at positions 1 to 334 of the family's 1533-position model. The record is from RNAcentral.
GUACGCUAUUCAGAGUUUGAUCCUGGCUCAGGAUGAACGCUGGCGGCGUGCUUAACACAUGCAAGUCGAACGAAGCAAUUACGACAGAAUCCUUCGGGAGGAAGAUGUAAUUGACUGAGUGGCGGACGGGUGAGUAACGCGUGGGUAACCUGCCCUAUACAGGGGGAUAACAGUUAGAAAUGACUGCUAAUACCGCAUAACCCGCUAGUAUCGCAUGAUACAGACGGAAAAGAUUUAUUGGUAUAGGAUGGGCCCGCGUCUGAUUAGCUAGUUGGUAAGGUAACGGCUUACCAAGGCAACGAUCAGUAGCCGGCUUGAGAGAGUGAACGGCCACAUUGGGACUGAGACACGGCCCAA